GUAAGGAAUAUUGGUCAAUGGACGAAAGUCUGAACCAGCCAUGCCGCGUGGAGGAUGAAGGUCCUCUGGAUUGUAAACUUCUUUUAUAUGGGACGAAAAUGGGGCUUUCUAGCUCAACUGACGGUACCAUAUGAAUAAGCACCGGCUAACUCCGUGCCAGCAGCCGCGGUAAUACGGAGGGUGCAAGCGUUAUCCGGAUUCACUGGGUUUAAAGGGUGCGUAGGUGGAUUGGUAAGUCAGAGGUGAAAUCUCCGGGCUCAACUCGGAAACUGCCUUUGAUACUAUCAAUCUUGAAUAUUGUGGAGGUUAGCGGAAUAUGUCAUGUAGCGGUGAAAUGCUUAGAUAUGACAUAGAACACCAAUUGCGAAGGCAGCUGGCUACACAUAUAUUGACACUGAGGCACGAAAGCGUGGGGAUCAAACAGGAUUAGAUACCCCGGUAGUCC
This 445-nucleotide ribosomal RNA is filed under the name uncultured bacterium. RNAcentral's name for it is "bacterial SSU rRNA". It matches the Rfam family "Bacterial small subunit ribosomal RNA", at positions 354 to 796 of the family's 1533-position model. The record is from RNAcentral.